This 459-nucleotide ribosomal RNA is filed under the name uncultured bacterium. RNAcentral's name for it is "partial 16S ribosomal RNA". It matches the Rfam family "Bacterial small subunit ribosomal RNA", at positions 338 to 795 of the family's 1533-position model. The record is from RNAcentral.
CCUACGGGAGACAGCAGUGAGGAAUAUUGGUCAAUGGCCGAGAGGCUGAACCAGCCAAGUCGCGUGAGGGAUGACGGCCCUACGGGUUGUAAACCUCUUUUGUCGGGGAGCAAAGCGAGUCACGUGUGACUCAUUGAGAGUACCCGAAGAAAAAGCAUCGGCCAACUCCGUGCCAGCCGCCGCGGUAAUACCGAGGAUGCGAGCGUUAUCCGGAUUUAUUGGGGUUAAAGGGUGCGCAGGCGGAGGUGUAAGUCAGCGGUCACAUUGUGGGGCUCAAUCCCGUACUGCCGUUGAAACUGCAUCCCUUGAGUGCGCGAGAAGUAUGCGGAAUGCGUGGUGUAGCGGUGAAAUGCAUAGAUAUCACGCAGAACUCCGAUUGCGAAGGCAGCAUACCGGCGCGCAACUGACGCUCAUGCACGAAAGCGUGGGUAUCGAACAGGAUUAGAUACCCUAGUAGUC